GGUGAACGCUGGCGGCGUGCCUAAUACAUGCAAGUCGAGCGAACGGACGAGAAGCUUGCUUCUCUGAUGUUAGCGGCGGACGGGUGAGUAACACGUGGAUAACCUACCUAUAAGACUGGGAUAACUUCGGAAAACCGGAGCUAAUACCGGAUAAUAUUUUGAACCGCAUGGUUCAAAAGUGAAAGACGGUCUUGCUGUCACUUAUAGAUGGAUCCGCGCUGCAUUAGCUAGUUGGUAAGGUAACGGCUUACCAAGGCAACGAUGCAUAGCCGACCUGAGAGGGUGAUCGGCCACACUGGAACUGAGACACGGUCCAGACUCCUACGGGAGGCAGCAGUAGGGAAUCUUCCGCAAUGGGCGAAAGCCUGACGGAGCAACGCCGCGUGAGUGAUGAAGGCCUUCGGAUCGUAAAACUCUGUUAUUAGGGAAGAACAUAUGUGUAAGUAACUGUGCACAUCUUGACGGUACCUAAUCAGAAAGCCACGGCUAACUACGUG
RNAcentral lists this ribosomal RNA (497 nucleotides) under uncultured bacterium. RNAcentral describes it as "partial 16S ribosomal RNA". It matches the Rfam family "Bacterial small subunit ribosomal RNA", at positions 28 to 507 of the family's 1533-position model. The record is from RNAcentral.